AGCCGCCGCGGUAACACCGGCAGCUCUAGUGGUAACUAAUUUUAGUUGGGCCUAAAGCGUCCGUAGCCGGUUUAAUAAGUCUCUGGUGAAAUCCUGUAGCUUAACUGUGGGAAUUGCUGGAGAUACAUUAGACUUGAGACCGGGAGAGGUUAGAGGUACUCCCAGGGUAGAGGUGAAAUUCUGUAAUCCUGGGAGGACCGCCUGUUGCGAAGGCGUCUAACUGGAACGGUUCUGACGGUGAGGGACGAAAGUUAGGGGCGCGAACCGGAUUAGAUACCCGGGUAGUCCUAACUGUAAACGAUGCGGACUUGGUGUUGGGGUGGCUUUGAGCUGCUCCAGUGCCGAAGGGAAGCUGUUAAGUCCGCCGCCUGGGAAGUACGGUCGCAAGACUGAACUUAAAGGAAUUGGCGGGGGAGCACCACAACGCGUGGAGCCUGCCGGUUUAAUUGGAUUCAACGCCGGACAUCUCACCAGAGGCGACAGCUGUAUGAUAGCCAGGUUGAUGACUUUGCUUGACUAGCUGAGUAGUGGUGCAUGG
RNAcentral lists this ribosomal RNA (538 nucleotides) under uncultured archaeon. Its description in RNAcentral is "bacterial SSU rRNA". It matches the Rfam family "Archaeal small subunit ribosomal RNA", at positions 460 to 997 of the family's 1478-position model. The record is from RNAcentral.